GCCGGAGUGGCGGAAUGGCAGACGCGGCGGUCUCAAAAACCGCUGACCGCAAGGUCGUGUGGGUUCGACUCCCACCUUCGGCACCC
RNAcentral lists this transfer RNA (86 nucleotides) under Chloroflexota bacterium. RNAcentral's name for it is "Chloroflexi bacterium (wastewater metagenome) tRNA-Leu". It matches the Rfam family "tRNA". From Rfam's summary of the family: Transfer RNA (tRNA) molecules are approximately 80 nucleotides in length. Their secondary structure includes four short double-helical elements and three loops (D, anti-codon, and T loops). Further hydrogen bonds mediate the characteristic L-shaped molecular structure. tRNAs have two regions of fundamental functional importance: the anti-codon, which is responsible for specific mRNA codon recognition, and the 3' end, to which the tRNAs corresponding amino acid is attached (by aminoacyl-tRNA synthetases). tRNAs cope with the degeneracy of the genetic code in two manners: having more than one tRNA (with a specific anti-codon) for a particular amino acid; and 'wobble' base-pairing, i.e. permitting non-standard base-pairing at the 3rd anti-codon position. The record is from RNAcentral. Lineage: Bacteria; Bacillati; Chloroflexota.